This 3019-nucleotide long non-coding RNA is filed under the name Sus scrofa (pig). RNAcentral's name for it is "lncRNA (ENSSSCG00000063150.1)". Lineage: Eukaryota; Metazoa; Chordata; Mammalia; Artiodactyla; Suidae. The record is from RNAcentral.
GCAAAAAGCGAAUGGGUUGCUCUGUCUGUCGCGGCUGUUCCUCCCAAAUAUCUCCGCUGCUGCCCGAGUGCGGGGAGCCGGAGCGCUUGAACUCCCCGAAGCCGCCGGUUGGAGGGAGAGGGGAACCGCGCCUCCAUCUCGAGUUGUGCAAGCCGCCAUCUGUCCUCUUCUGGCCCAGAGCAAAGACCAAGCGGGGCGAAAGUUUACUUUCCAAGUUGUUGGGUGUACAUUAAAACUUUUAUCCUUUUUGGACAAAUUAAUGAGCAAUUUAAUUAAUAAAAUCAGAGAGUAGUGUAAGUGCUAUGAUAAUGAAGUUAAAUGAGUGCACAGUAAAAUAUUCACUAAUCCAGCGCACUGCCAAAUACCCCCUUAAUUCUGCUUAACACUAAAAGGGUUUUGAGCACCAUAAUGAGAUUCCUCUGUCUGCUAAUUAAUUGACACGCUCCUGAAUAUUCAUAUGAGCUAGCACCAAUACGUUCCUAAUUGCACCGUGGAAUAGAUCUCAGAGGAAAGUAAAUCGCCAUAGACUUAAUUAAAAUAAUGUAUUCCAGAUCUAGGACGGGAAAAGAUGAGACAUUUGCCUUCGAGCGCGCUAAGGAAGUGGCACCUGGUUGGUGGAAGGGAGAGAUAUCAAACGUCGGCGUCUAGCCUCAAAUAAGCGGCGUGGGACGAUCUGGGAGGGCGUUCGGCUUCUGAACACAGCAGCUAUGCUGGGUCCAAACCCUGCGGCUCAGAGGCCUUGGCUCCCAGGAGCGUCCCUGUUCCUGCCCUACUGGAGGAAGUGUCUGAUGGGGCAGAGUGUAGCACCCCGACCUGGACCAGCGCGCUCUUACUUCCCUGCUUUCUGUCCCUCAGGCUGGUCCGAAAUGCGAAAUAGGGGAAGGUUGUAGGUCGGACAAUUCCCGGGAAACUUUUCCCAGAGGUUGUUUUAGCCGAAGCAGCCCAACUCUCCCAACUCAAGUUGCGAUCUAAGAGAAGUAGCUGGCACUGUCUCUGGGGGAGGGCGUUAGGUGAGGGAGAAUACACGAAACCUGGGAUGCUGUCCUCGCCCCGGCUCCCAUUUUCACGGGAAGAGCCGCCGUCCCCAGACCGCGCGGCUUCGUUCCUUUAAGCUUUUUCCCUUUCCUGGGGUGGGGGGUGGGGGGCACAUCCCAGGCAGCUUUCUUGAGAGGGUAGGUGGGACAACGGGCCUGCGGAAUCUAAUCAACCGCCUAACCUGAGUUUGACAGCGGAGCCAUUUUCACCAGCGCCACGCAAGUUAAGUAAACUCUAGUUCCCGCCACCCGCCUUCUUUUUGAAAAAAAAAAAAAAAAUCACCACAGGUUAGAAACUAAAACGAGUUUAUUUGAAGACAUACAAAUGCAUAUUUAUUAUACACAUGUAGGCAUUAACAAUGUAAAUUACACCGCCAGCAGUUGCUGGUUGUUUAUUCAUUAGAUUUUUAGAAAAUCUACAUUGCCUCCAGACAGCGCGAUGAUAAUGCGAAAUACACAAGCAGUUUACAUAACCAACUUUGACGCGGAGCUCUGCGCUCCGCGACACCGAGACAUCAACAGGUCGCAGGGAUCCGGACGCGAAGGAAACCUAAGUUGCUAAUAAUUACCCAUGAUCUGGGGAACCUAUGAUGCCGGUGGCUCCCUCUGUCCUUUCGGAAACAGAUGUGUAAAACAGGAAGGAUCUGACUCAUUUUCUAUGUCCAUCUAUUUUACCCUAUUUGUGUGUAGGUUUAUUUUGUGGGUGAGUUUUUUGGUUUUUGGUUUUGGUUUUUUUUGUUUGUUUGUUUUUGUUUUUGUUUUUGAGUUUAAAGAAAAAUAGGUGAAAGGGGGAAGAACAGAAAGACCAGUAGCUUCCCCAAACUCCCGGUAUUCAGGAGAGCCAAAGACUGAACCCAAAUCACUUUCUGGAGGGGGGCCAGUAAAGUGAGAGGUGAGAGACUUUACCGCCUGCGUGGGAAGAAAAGGCAGCCUACCUUAGUUAAGGGAAGCCAUCAACUCCACCAAUCAAACCGCUGUAGCCACCAUAAACAAAUGGUUAUCACUCGAAAUCACCUGCUGAAUCAACCUUUUUGGAAUUAAAUCCUCCGUGAUUCUGGAUUUACCCAAGAGAUGGAGAGGGGGCAGCACUUUAAGGGAGAAACAGCAGUACAGAUUUAAUGUUUAUCUUAAAUAUAUAAAUAUUCAUACAUAAAUAUAUUUCUAAGCUCUUUGCUGAUAAAAAAUGUUAAAUAAAUACGGGGAGAGUGUGGGGUUGUUUACGAGGGUCACUAUUGUUUGGGGCGGGGGGCGGUGGUCGGCCGAACAAUGUCAGCCACAGUUUUAAGUCUGGAGUCACUCUCUUACAGUAGCCAACCACCCACUUCAGAGGUGUGCGGGGGAUGGGGUGGGCGCGAGGGUGUUCGAGUGUUCCGUUUCCUUCCUUUCUUUUGGUUGGGCCGGCUGGGGACACAAGGAAAUACACUGCCGAUCCCGGACACUGCACUGAUGGGAAGGCAGCUAGCUUGUUAGCCGACCUAAAACCUGGCGUCCCUACGUUUGUGGAAAUUAAAACCAGAGUUUGAAAAAGAGAUGAGGGUAGAGAGGGAGAAGAAAGAGGGAAGGAGAUAGAGAAACAGGGACGCAGAAGGCAGUGGAUUCAUUUCCACUACGUGGGUAAACCCUCGGGGCAACCUGGUCUCCCCUAUGCUUGCCUGUACGCAGAGACCCACCCAAGACUGAGCAAAGCACCGGGAGCAGACUCAGUUCCGUGGAGAAGGGCGCUCGGCAGGAGGUUGGCAUCCUACGCUGGGACUCACCAGGACCUAAAGAGCGAAACCCUGGUCCCAGGUGAAACCCACCAGAACCGAAGGACCGCGCCGCCGCCCAGGGGAGGCAAGAGCCUAGCUGCGCCGCAAGCCCGCCUGGCCCCGCCUCCUAGCCAUUCUUAGCUGGGGGAGGCCAGUAAGGAUCAGCCGCUUUCUUUCUUUGCAUUCUUUCUUUUUCAAACCCGCUUUGUGGGUGGCAGCUCAGCAGGGGACGAAUGG